RNAcentral lists this ribosomal RNA (784 nucleotides) under Vibrio chagasii. RNAcentral describes it as "bacterial SSU rRNA". It matches the Rfam family "Bacterial small subunit ribosomal RNA", at positions 720 to 1501 of the family's 1533-position model. Lineage: Bacteria; Pseudomonadati; Pseudomonadota; Gammaproteobacteria; Vibrionales; Vibrionaceae. The record is from RNAcentral.
GGCGGCCCCCUGGACAGAUACUGACACUCAGAUGCGAAAGCGUGGGGAGCAAACAGGAUUAGAUACCCUGGUAGUCCACGCCGUAAACGAUGUCUACUUGGAGGUUGUGGCCUUGAGCCGUGGCUUUCGGAGCUAACGCGUUAAGUAGACCGCCUGGGGAGUACGGUCGCAAGAUUAAAACUCAAAUGAAUUGACGGGGGCCCGCACAAGCGGUGGAGCAUGUGGUUUAAUUCGAUGCAACGCGAAGAACCUUACCUACUCUUGACAUCCAGAGAAGCCAGCGGAGACGCAGGUGUGCCUUCGGGAGCUCUGAGACAGGUGCUGCAUGGCUGUCGUCAGCUCGUGUUGUGAAAUGUUGGGUUAAGUCCCGCAACGAGCGCAACCCUUAUCCUUGUUUGCAAGCGAGUAAUGUCGGGAACUCCAGGGAGACUGCCGGUGAUAAACCGGAGGAAGGUGGGGACGACGUCAAGUCAUCAUGGCCCUUACAAGUAGGGCUACACACGUGCUACAAUGGCGCAUACAGAGGGCGGCGAACUUGCGAGAGUGAGCGAAUCCCAAAAAGUGCGUCGUAGUCCGGAUUGGAGUCUGCAACUCGACUCCAUGAAGUCGGAAUCGCUAGUAAUCGUAGAUCAGAAUGCUACGGUGAAUACGUUCCCGGGCCUUGUACACACCGCCCGUCACACCAUGGGAGUGGGCUGCAAAAGAAGUGGGUAGUUUAACCUUUCGGGGAGGACGCUCACCACUUUGUGGUUCAUGACUGGGGUGAAGUCGUAACAAGGUAACC